CAGAAAAUAUUUUCCUUGAAAUUUUAAUAUGCAUACGACUUAUUUCAGACUUACUGUUUAAAAGUAAUAAACGUUAAAAGUUUGGACUGGAGGAAUGGGGUAGAGUGCGAUUAUGCAAUUUAUUACCAUCCCUAUUAUUCCAGUUUACAUUUUAAACGGUUAUAACUCAUAAAUUGUUAAUCUGAUAUUCGUGAAAAAGAUAUUCUUCAUUUAAAUCUGUGUUCAAAAAGGGGGAUCC
Cinara cedri is the source of this 238-nucleotide non-coding RNA. Lineage: Eukaryota; Metazoa; Arthropoda; Insecta; Hemiptera; Aphididae. The record is from the annotation of a GenBank genome assembly.